Non-coding RNA from Homo sapiens (human), 148 nucleotides. It matches the Rfam family "Metazoan signal recognition particle RNA". Rfam says of the family: The signal recognition particle (SRP) is a universally conserved ribonucleoprotein. NCBI's taxonomy places the organism in Eukaryota, Metazoa, Chordata, Mammalia, Primates, Hominidae. The record is from Rfam.
GCUGGGUGUGGUGGUGCAUGCCUGCAGUUCCAGCUACUUAGGAGGCUGAGGUGGGAGGAUCGCUUGAGCCCAGGAAUUUGAGGCUGCAGUGAGUUAUGACCGCACCACUGCACUCCAGCCUGGGCGACAGAGCGAGACCCUGUCUCAA